CCAUCAAGUUGGGUGUUACUGAAAUGAUAAUUAGAAAGAAGACAGGAGAAAGAAGAAAUUAUAUGCUAUAAUACGUUGCUAUGGAAACAAUGAUCUUAGAAUGACUGGCUGUUCAUUGUUUAUUUUUUCCCCCCAACUUAACCAAAAUGUUUCAUUUAAAUUUUCCGUAAACUUAGUCUAAAUUAUUAUCUUGUCAAAAUUUGAGAUCUCAGUAUGCUAUCAAAGAUACAGCAGAUAACCUCAAAACAUGGUUUAAAUUUUAAGGUGUGAGAAUAAAAGUGAGAACGAUUUCACUUUGAACAUGAAAGCUGAAAGGAUCUUUCAGAUUGGUGACACUAGACAUUCGAGGAAAUCAAGUGCUUGUGAGUUAAAGAAGUCAAAUUUCAGUGAGAAAUUUGACCAAAAUGCUACUAAAAAUGGCAGGGGGGAUAGUGCACAGAUCAUUCCUGCAAAGGAAUCGGGAACUGUUCGGCACAAGGAGAAGAGAAGGAGGGAAGGCUUCAGGAGAGGGGAGAGGAGGGAUGAUGCAAGUGUGAAAGUGGUUCCUCUUCAUAUCAAUGAUGUGAUAGACGCCUUGAAAUACUGUCAAAAAGGCUCUUUGACUGCUGUUAGGCAGAAUUACAGCAGGCGGAAACUAGGAAAAUUCAGUGUAGAAAAAAUUUCUGGGAAGCAUAGGAGAUUUCACAACCAAGAAGAAAUGUCAGAAAUUGAUGGUCAAUUCAACGGGGAUGCUGAGAGCUUGGUCAGUGAUUUUGUCCAAGAACUGAACAUAAGAUACAUUAGAAAAUGUGAAUCUGAAGUAAGGAAACGCAAAAUUAAGUGCAGGAAAACGUUCGGAUGCCAACAGCCAAAAAAGUGGCCCAAGUAUAAAGAAAAAAAAUUAUGCGAGAGAAAUACUAGGGUCAGUCAAACAGCUGGAAAGAGGAUAGGGAUUUGA
RNAcentral lists this long non-coding RNA (937 nucleotides) under Bemisia tabaci. RNAcentral's name for it is "lncRNA ENSSSA3NGG002442". The record is from RNAcentral. Lineage: Eukaryota; Metazoa; Arthropoda; Insecta; Hemiptera; Aleyrodidae.